This 3968-nucleotide long non-coding RNA is filed under the name Sorghum bicolor (sorghum). RNAcentral describes it as "long non-coding RNA (SBIC_LNC002972)". Lineage: Eukaryota; Viridiplantae; Streptophyta; Magnoliopsida; Poales; Poaceae. The record is from RNAcentral.
GACGAAGUACAACCGGAGGAAGAACCGACAAGCCGGCCUCUCCUCUAAUCCUCCUUUGCUCUCCAUCUCACUACUAUCUAGAUCUACUCUAGUUUAGAGAAGAGAGGAGAGCUCUCAUCUCCAAACCCUAACUUUUGCUCUGUCUAUGAAUAAUGAUCAAGGGGUUCCUCCUCCAGGGGCCAGGGGGUCUGGUUAUAUGGUCCCCUCAAGUGAACCUGGGCCGUUGGAUCAAACCGACAUUGAUUGAACGGUUAUUCUUGAUCCUUUAGGUCGGUGGAGAUCUCCCGAGAGAAAGAGUCCUGAUUGGACUCCAAGUCAGGGGGGGCGCCCAGGGCAGGAGGGCGGGCGCCCUGCCUCUGGCCCCGUUCGGCCUCCGCUUCCUUCCCGUGGCUUCUGGAGUCUUCUAGAUGUAAGAUAAUUGCGUGGCACGUUAAUAUCUCUAUGUAAUCCCGACGUGUGGGCCUUUCUUCCCUAUUUCCUCAUAACCCCCUGCAGAAAUAGACAAACACCAAAACUCAUGGAAUUCUGUCACAUAAAACCCUAAGUCUAGAUGUUGAUUUCAUUUGGAUCCUUUUCUUUGUUUAUUUCAUAAUUAAAUUUGAUACUUAAGGACCGUCAACAAACUCCCUCAAGCUUACCUCUUGCUUGUCCCUGAGCAAGGAUAGACUCAGAAAUGGAUCAGAAGUUGUUGCAAUAUCUUAAAAAUUUGACGGUACACAUGCUUUUAAAUAACAUCUUAUCUCUGAGUUAGAGUAAACUGUCAAGAACUAAAACUUACUUACUUUACCUUUCACCAUGGGACUUGUAACCGUCACUUCUGUCUUGAGUAGUUAAAAGAUAGAACAGUCUAGCCAAGUGCCAUGUCUCUUAUUCUUGAUCAGCUAUAGCUCUGGAGUUUUUGCAGAUUUUCAAAUAAAACUCAGAGAUUCCUUGUAUGACUCUCUAAAUCUCUCUUUUGUGGUAUUUUUGGAUCCUUACCAAGGCAGUGAUGGUAUAUGCCUUCUCUCAAGAUAUGUGGUAUUUGUGGUAUAAGGCAUAGUGACAUUGCCUUCUCUCUCACCCUACUCUAAUAAGGCUUUAAUAUCUGGAGCUCAUAGGUGGGAGAUAAAGUAUACAUACUUACAAGACAUUUAUUGUAUAGUCAAACCAUGGAUCCAAAGAACAAAUCAAUAAGCCAAAUCAAGAUGUGCAUGUGUGGCGAAUGAAUGGUGUAUGGUGAUGAUGGUGAUAACAAUGGUGAAAGUCUAAUUCUACUUUUGCUCUUUUGAGGGGAUACAUACCUUCCUUGCUUUUUGAAACUUUAUGAGGAGAAUGAGAUGCUCUUCUUUUUCUUUCCUCUCAGGUGGGUAUCUUGUACCCCUAAUUCUACUGUCGGACACUUGUCCAUUUUUACCUCUCGUCUCACUUUUUUUUUCUUUCGAGGUUCCGGGCACUUGCCCCUUUUUAUUUCCUCGUUUAUUUUAUUUUUUUUUCUUUUCUUCUCUUUUCUCUUUUUUUUCCUUUCAGAGCACUCAUCUCUUGAGAUAAUAUAGCAAGUGGUAGUAGCAAGAUAACUUGAGCAUUUAUUUCACAAGGGAAAACAAAAAUAUUUUUGGCUAUUCUCUCCCGGAUUAGGAGUAGAAUAUUUUUGGGUGGUUCUAGAGAUGGACAUGGAUGGAUAUAUGUGGUUGGUACUUACAGAGUAGAAGUAGCAUAUAUGAGUGAACGUGCAAGUAAAUCUUGAUUUAACCACAUGACAAGCUCCUAAGGGUCUACACAGCUUGACCACACUCAAUGCUCAUAAGCAGUAAAUAAUAAAUGUGUGGCUCAAAGUCUAGCAAGCAUGUAUAUAUGGCUGUGGUAGGAACUCUUAUCAUACAGGAACUCAUCAUGCAAUAUUUUAAAGAUUUUUCAAAGAUAAAAUUCUCCAGAAUUCUAGCAUCUCUAGGAACAGAUAAACAGCAGCUCAACCUUCCCAUAUCAUAUCCGUUAACAACUUAGAUUUUAGAUCAAGUUUUCAUCCCACAAGUUUAGAUCUAGAGCAAGCUUUAAAUUAUAACCGUUAUGUCUAAACUUGAGAGAGAACUUCAAAUUUGCAAAUUAGGCAGAGCAACUAUUCAUCAUAUCCAUGCUAGAGUUUUAUUAUUAAGAUUCAGAUUAGCAUAGCCACUUUAUUUAUUUAUUAAACACACUAAGCAAAAGAUAUAAAUAUAAGCACAAAAUCUUUAUUUGGUUUUUCAUAGUUUAUGUAUUUUAAUAUUCUAAUAUAAUAUAAGUAUAAAGAUAGGUAGAAAUACUUAGCGAGAUAAAUGGGGAUGCUCUCCCCCAAGCUGAAUUUUGACGUAAUUUCUCUUGAUGUAGCUAGCAGGUGGCAGAGGUGUAUUUGAAAGUCAGCAGCAUUCUGACAGCGAUUAGAAUGUCCUCCGUCUGCUAGUCUUCUUGAUUCUUAAAUUCUGUGGAGCUCAAAUAGACAACAAAGCUUGUGGAACUAAUUAAGUGUUAGCAUAAAUAUCUAGCCUUCAUCAUGUUGAGCUUCCUCAAUAAAUAUUACUCCCUGUUUUUAUAUUUUUAUUUUAUAAAGCAGAAAAGAAAUAUUUAUUUUAUUUUUAUGCCACCACAGUGAAGGUACUUAUGGGUUUUAGGCCACUCGUAUACUCACAUGGGGCUUAGUAUUUUUUUAACAUUUUUAUUUUCUUUUCAAGAUAGCAUGAUUAACUAAUAAUCUAAUUAAGGAAAGUAAAUAAUUAAAGGGAAAAGAGAAUGCAGAAGGGAUAAAUAUGGAUAACUACCGAUCUUACCUUUCGGCGAGGGUUCAAUGUUUUAAGUCUUCUUAACAAGACUUCUCACCGUGUUCAUCCUUCAGGUGCGUCAUUUGAUUCAGGUGCGGACCUUGACGUCUGCACCUCUUCGUUUGCCCAGCAGUUCGAAGUGCGGCGUUGGCAGUAUCCUGCUCAGUGUGUUUGUGCUCGUAGAUCCAGGUCCUUCACUUGGUAGAGUCUGAGAGUUAUAAAACUCCUCCGUGUUUUGCUCGAAGUGUACCUGCUCAUAGAGACAAGGCAGAGAUCAAGUGCACGGGUCCUGUUGGUGGAAAACACCAACAGAACCUAAAGUGUAUUUGUUCUUCUCUAACCCUAAGCAUAGUGAGCAAGACAAAGUUGAUGGAUGAAAAGUUCAUGAGUGUAGCACUUAUAACAUUUGUCAGAUCAGAUCGCUCAACCUUAUGGAAAGAUAAUCUAUCUAUGUAUAUGUCAUUUUCUUUAUAUCUCUCAAUGAUUGAAUGUGUAACAUUUUAGCUCAUAUGAUUAGGAGUGUGAGAUCAUGGAGGUAGUACUAAUAAUAAGGAUUAAAGGACUAAACAUGUUGAAUCAGUUGGGUUGGUUAAUCUAGAGUUGUAACAAAUACAUGUUUGUCUCUUUUAUUUAUAUGAACGCCAGAACCAAGGAGAAGCUUAUAAAAGUGAUAGUCAAGUACCUUAAGAUGUUACCUUGCUUGAAGAGUGAUGGUGUAGUAUCACCUUGUGGAAGCCUUCCUUUCUUAGUGGUUGUGCAUCGUGUUUGUGGCACCCUCCAUGGAUCAUCUCUCUAUGAUGAAUGAGCUAUGUCCUUCUUGUGCAAAUUGUUAAACUUCAUGUGUCACUCUCUUCGUCUCUGAUGUGAGUUUAUCUCAGGACAUCCCAAAUCGAUAUUGAAAGUUUUUCUGCAGGGGUUAGUCCGACAAAAAUAUACCAAUGUCUACACAAGCAGUUUUUAGUUCAAUAACCGAACUAGACUCCAUGUCUAAUCAGAUUAAGGAAGGCUGUUUAACCUAAGCACCAUGCUUAAUUUAAAACCAAUAGAAGUAUGUGCAGUACUUCCAAACUAACACUUACUAGUAAAUAGACAAAGGUAACAUGACAGCAUUUAUAGAGAUCUACUCAAGUGGAGAUGAAGUAGUGUGAUUAGUAUUUAACAAAUUGAGCAUGUCUUAAAGGUAGGGACAACCAACAUAGC